Molecule: non-coding RNA, 126 nt
Organism: Myotis lucifugus (little brown bat)
Lineage: Eukaryota; Metazoa; Chordata; Mammalia; Chiroptera; Vespertilionidae
Source: Rfam
CGUGCACUGGUGGGGUCCCUCGGCCUGGCCUGUGCCCUCUCAUAAUCCGGGGCCCUUCAGGGGAUGUUGGAGAGCUGGUUUCGGCCCAAUCCCACAGGCCAGGCUGAGGGACUCCACUGGUGCACA